Molecule: ribosomal RNA, 494 nt
Filed under: uncultured bacterium
Lineage: Bacteria
Description: partial 16S ribosomal RNA
Rfam family: Bacterial small subunit ribosomal RNA
Source: RNAcentral
AUUGAACGCUGGCGGCAUGCUUUACACAUGCAAGUCGAACGGCAGCGGGGAGGAGCUUGCUUCUCUGCCGGCGAGUGGCGAACGGGUGAGUAAUACAUCGGAACGUGUUGAGAAGAGGGGGAUAACCACCCGAAAGGGUGGCUAAUACCGCAUAAAUUCUGAGGAAGAAAGCUGGGGACCUGGGAAUAGGCCUAGCGCUUUUUGAGCGGCCGAUGUCGGAUUAGCUAGUUGGUGAGGUAAAGGCUCACCAAGGCGAAGAUCUGUAGCGGGUCUGAGAGGAUGAUCCGCCACACUGGGACUGAGACACGGCCCAGACUCCUACGGGAGGCAGCAGUGGGGAAUUUUGGACAAUGGGGGCAACCCUGAUCCAGCCAUGCCGCGUGUAUGAAGAAGGCCUUAGGGUUGUAAAGUACUUUUGUUAGGGAAGAAAAGUCAGCUGUGAAUAAUGGCUGAUACUGACGGUACCUAAAGAAUAAGCACCGGCUAACUACGUG